UACGUAGGGUGCGAGCGUUGUCCGGAUUUAUUGGGCGUAAAGAGCUUGUAGGCGGUUUGUCGCGUCUGCCGUGAAAAUUCGAGGCUCAACCUCGAACUUGCGGUGGGUACGGGCAGGCUAGAGUGUGGUAGGGGAGACUGGAAUUCCUGGUGUAGCGGUGGAAUGCGCAGAUAUCAGGAGGAACACCGGUGGCGAAGGCGGGUCUCUGGGCCAUUACUGACGCUGAGGAGCGAAAGCGUGGGGAGCGAACAGG
RNAcentral lists this ribosomal RNA (253 nucleotides) under uncultured bacterium. RNAcentral describes it as "partial 16S ribosomal RNA". It matches the Rfam family "Bacterial small subunit ribosomal RNA", at positions 524 to 776 of the family's 1533-position model. The record is from RNAcentral.